RNAcentral lists this long non-coding RNA (245 nucleotides) under Hordeum vulgare. RNAcentral describes it as "long non-coding RNA (HVUL_LNC010373)". Lineage: Eukaryota; Viridiplantae; Streptophyta; Magnoliopsida; Poales; Poaceae. The record is from RNAcentral.
AAAAUACUUUUCCGCCGCCGCAAGCUUCCGUUUCCGCGAGAUCUCAUCUGGAGACCCUUCCCGGCGCCCUGCCGGAGGGGACUUUGGAGUUGGAGGGCUUCUUCAUCAUCAUCAUCGCCCCUCCAAUGACUCGUGAGUAGUUCAGUUUAGACCUACGGGUCCGUAGUUAGUAGCUAGAUGGCUUCUUCUCUCUCUUGGAUCUUCAAUACAAAGUUCUCCAUGAUCUUCAUGGAGAUCUAUCCGAU